UACGAAGGGGGCUAGCGUUGUUCGGAAUUACUGGGCGUAAAGCGCGCGCAGGCGGCUAUCCAAGUCAGUGGUGAAAGCCCGGAGCUCAACUCCGGAACUGCCAUUGAAACUGUUUAGCUGGAGUAUGAGAGAGGUGAGUGGAAUUCCCAGUGUAGAGGUGAAAUUCGUAGAUAUCGGGAGGAACACCUGUGGCGAAAGCGGCGCACUGGACCAUAACUGACGCUGAGGCGCGAAAGCUAGGGGAGCAAACAGG
This 253-nucleotide ribosomal RNA is filed under the name uncultured bacterium. Its description in RNAcentral is "partial 16S ribosomal RNA". It matches the Rfam family "Bacterial small subunit ribosomal RNA", at positions 524 to 776 of the family's 1533-position model. The record is from RNAcentral.